RNAcentral lists this ribosomal RNA (253 nucleotides) under uncultured bacterium. Its description in RNAcentral is "partial 16S ribosomal RNA". It matches the Rfam family "Bacterial small subunit ribosomal RNA", at positions 524 to 776 of the family's 1533-position model. The record is from RNAcentral.
UACGUAGGGUGCGAGCGUUAAUCGGAAUUACUGGGCGUAAAGCGUGCGCAGGCGGUUUUGUAAGCCAGAUGUGAAAUCCCCGGGCUUAACCUGGGAAUGGCGAUGGUGACUGCAAGGCUAGAGUUUGGCAGAGGGGGGUAGAAUUCCACGUGUAGCAGUGAAAUGCGUAGAGAUGUGGAGGAACACCGAUGGCGAAGGCAGCCCCCUGGGUCAAAACUGACGCUCAUGCACGAAAGCGUGGGGAGCAAACAGG